AAGUCGUAACAAGGUCUCCGUUGGUGAACCAGCGGAGGGAUCAUUACGAGAGUGUCACCACUCCCAACCCAUUGUUUACCUACCCGUCCACCGUGCUUCGGCAGGCAGCCCUGUGGGACAGGGCCUCGCCUCCCCUCCGGGGGGGUGCCUGCCGCUGGCCAACCAAAAAUUCAGCUGUUUUUGUACCAUCUGAGUCUUCCACAAAUAAACAAAACUUUCAACAACGGAUCUCUUGGUUCUG
RNAcentral lists this unclassified non-coding RNA (241 nucleotides) under Myrmecridium schulzeri. RNAcentral's name for it is "partial internal transcribed spacer region". The stretch from base 1 to 46 matches the Rfam family "Eukaryotic small subunit ribosomal RNA", at positions 1786 to 1831 of the family's 1831-position model. The record is from RNAcentral. RNAcentral also lists the same sequence under 1 other name. Lineage: Eukaryota; Fungi; Ascomycota; Sordariomycetes; Myrmecridiales; Myrmecridiaceae.